This 23-nucleotide non-coding RNA is filed under the name Arabidopsis thaliana (thale cress). Lineage: Eukaryota; Viridiplantae; Streptophyta; Magnoliopsida; Brassicales; Brassicaceae. The record is from RNAcentral.
AAAGGUGACAUGACUCUUGUUUU